Zea mays is the source of this 948-nucleotide long non-coding RNA. RefSeq lists it as uncharacterized. Lineage: Eukaryota; Viridiplantae; Streptophyta; Magnoliopsida; Poales; Poaceae. The record is from RefSeq and is a predicted model, not a curated record. The transcript has 4 exons.
UCUCCCUGUGUUGCUUCCAUCUUGCUUUUCUGAAGCUGAUAGCCACAUCCUUGUCAGUUUGUAGAACUCAAGUUGUUUGCUUGGUCUGGUCUAGUUGGGUUACCGCAGUUGACCUGACAUGCCUUUAAAUCAUAAAUCCAUUGAAUUUCGAUCCUGAUUUUGUAAGCCAGUUCAUAAAGCAUGGUUACCACCUUGGCUAGCGGCACAAUAUGCUCAUUAUGUGGUAAGAGCAGAACCAUAAAUAUUUAUCACUUCAAUUUCCAUUCUUAUGUUCUCCCAUCACUGACCACAAAUAUUUACUACUACAAUUUCCAUGUUCUUGUUCUCUCAUUGCUAUAGACGUCAUCAUUUGUAGGAGGUUGUCUCAGAUCACUGGAGCUAACAUGGGAAACCUGCUAUGCAGAAUGUUUUUGUGCCUUUUUCAUACUAGUUUCUUUUAUUUCCAAUUUCAAAAUGAAUUACACAAAUAAAAUGACCAUUUAUAUGUCUACGUAUCUAACAUUUCAGGCAUCAGAAAAAUUAGCACAUGCAAAGAAAUGGGUUGAAACUCAUAUUGAGGCUACUAAGAUGAAAUGGAUUUCUGUUAAGGAGAAAUUGGUUGUCCUAAAAAAUGUAGAACCUUAUGUACAAAAGGUAUCAACAAGAUGUUAAUGGGCUGAACUUCAUAUUAAGACUUCUAAAAUGAAAUGGAUUCCUGUUAAAGACAAAAUUGGUGGUCCUCACGAAAAAUGCAGAACCUUAUGUACAAAUCGGUUGUCUUCAAAAUGUUGAUCUUGUAGCUGCAAUAAAGAGAAGCAACAAUGGCGCUGAUGCUACAUGGUUAGAAGUAGCAAUGUUGGUCUGGUAGCUCCAAGAUUUGGUUGUUAUUGAAUAAUAUCUAUGAUAAUAUGUUGAUAAGUAUAUGUGAUGAUCAUUGAUAGUUGUUCAAUUAUAAUGGGUUGUGCUUCU